RNAcentral lists this transfer RNA (59 nucleotides) under Ctenophorus caudicinctus mensarum. Its description in RNAcentral is "tRNA-Cys". The record is from RNAcentral. Lineage: Eukaryota; Metazoa; Chordata; Lepidosauria; Squamata; Agamidae.
UUGGUCUAAUAAGAUAUCUGAUUGCAAGUCGGAUUUUUGGUUAUGAAACCAUUAGGUCU